GACAGAGGGUGCAACCGUUGUUCGGAAUUACUGGGCGUAAAGCGUGUGUAGGCGGCCAUAUAAGUCGGAUGUGAAAGCCCUGGGCUCAACCCAGGAAGUGCACUCGAUACUGUAUGGCUUGAGUACUGGAGAGGUUGGUGGAAUUCUCGGUGUAGAGGUGAAAUUCGUAGAUAUCGAGAGGAACACCGGUGGCGAAGGCGGCCAACUGGACAGAUACUGACGCUGAGACACGAAAGCGUGGGGAGCAAACAGG
This 253-nucleotide ribosomal RNA is filed under the name uncultured bacterium. RNAcentral describes it as "partial 16S ribosomal RNA". It matches the Rfam family "Bacterial small subunit ribosomal RNA", at positions 524 to 776 of the family's 1533-position model. The record is from RNAcentral.